This 401-nucleotide unclassified non-coding RNA is filed under the name fungal sp. RNAcentral's name for it is "partial internal transcribed spacer region". The stretch from base 1 to 46 matches the Rfam family "Eukaryotic small subunit ribosomal RNA", at positions 1786 to 1831 of the family's 1831-position model. Lineage: Eukaryota; Fungi. The record is from RNAcentral.
AAGUCGUAACAAGGUUUCCGUAGGUGAACCUGCGGAAGGAUCAUUAACACGUAUCCAACGUUAAAAACACCCCUGUGAACCCGUUAAUCUUGCUCCUCACGCCCUGCACGCCUAGCAAUCCCUGGUAAAUCAUUGUUGAACAGAUUUUGAUUCAGGGACCUCAGUUUGGUAGGUUUCGAUCGAGCGAUCGUUGCAAGUGACCUGGUUUCCCGAAGCAUCAUGUCUGAAAGUGUCAUUGUUGUGGAAGGAUAACGCUUUACGAUCACUGGCCGAACACCGGCCAGUGGACGGGUCGCAGCGGCUUCGGCCCCCCCAUAUUCACCCCACUACCAGAACUCGCCUCGUAGGAAACUGCUGGGCAACAAAACGAACAACUGUUAACAAUGGAUAUCUUGGUUCUC